AUGAACGAUUUCAAUAUAAAUGUAACAUGGGUUAUGAAUACAGUGAAAGAGGAGAUGCUGUAUGCACUGAAUCUGGAUGGCGUCCGUUGCCUUCAUGUGAAGAAAAAUCAUGUGAUAAUCCUUAUAUUCCAAAUGGUGACUACUCACCUUUAAGGAUUAAACACAGAACUGGAGAUGAAAUCACGUACCAGUGUAGAAAUGGUUUUUAUCCUGCAACCCGGGGAAAUACAGCAAAAUGCACAAGUACUGGCUGGAUACCUGCUCCGAGAUGUACCUUGAAACCUUGUGAUUAUCCAGACAUUAAACAUGGAGGUCUAUAUCAUGAGAAUAUGCGUAGACCAUACUUUCCAGUAGCUGUAGGAAAAUAUUACUCCUAUUACUGUGAUGAACAUUUUGAGACUCCGUCAGGAAGUUACUGGGAUCACAUUCAUUGCACACAAGAUGGAUGGUCGCCAGCAGUACCAUGCCUCAGAAAAUGUUAUUUUCCUUAUUUGGAAAAUGGAUAUAAUCAAAAUCAUGGAAGAAAGUUUGUACAGGGUAAAUCUAUAGACGUUGCCUGCCAUCCUGGCUACGCUCUUCCAAAAGCGCAGACCACAGUUACAUGUAUGGAGAAUGGCUGGUCUCCUACUCCCAGAUGCAUCCGUGCUUUACCCUCUGAACUUCUGAUCGAAGGUCAUCCCUCUCCAGCUUGAGUGGAUCAAAGAUGACAAGGGCCAAUGGAACCAAGUUUGAGUCUUGCCAGGUCAAUACUUGGGUCCUGAGUAUGGUGACUAGUAUCUGUUUUGUUAUGUGUGUAUUAUUCCAGCCAGAAUGGGAAAUGCUAAUUCAGCUCCUCCAGGCAGCCCAAUGGGGCUGGUGGCUUUGAGAUUAUUAAACUCUUUCUCUGCUGCAAACC
This 895-nucleotide long non-coding RNA is filed under the name Homo sapiens (human). RNAcentral's name for it is "long non-coding RNA NONHSAT150261.1". The record is from RNAcentral. Lineage: Eukaryota; Metazoa; Chordata; Mammalia; Primates; Hominidae.